UUUGGGUUACUUAAACCUUAUAGGCGUAAUGAAAGUAAAAGAAAUUUUAUUCUCUGAAGGAGGAUAAGUAGUUUGUUUUAAAUAACACUACUUCGCACUCCUGGGGCGCUUUCUACUCAAUGCGAGUUGAGGCGCACCUAUAGCGUACAUAAUAAUACCCGAAAGAUGGUGAACUAUGCCUGGCCAGGACGAAGCCAGGGGAAACCCUGGUGGAGGUCCGAAGCGAUUCUGACGUGCAAAUCGAUCGUCGGAGCUGGGUAUAGGGGCGAAAGACCAAUCGAACCAUUUAGUAGCUGGUUCCCUCUGAAGUUUCCCUCAGGAUAGCUAACGCUUCUGUAUAAAGACGAGUCUCAUCCGGUAGAGCGAAUGAUUAGAGGUAUUGGGGUCGAAACGGCCUCAACCUAUUCUCAAACUCCAAAUAGAUGAGAACCUCGGCUUGCUUAAAAGUGAAGCCGUAGGAGUCUUGAACGGAUCAGAGUGUUAAGUGGGCCAUUUUUGG
Molecule: ribosomal RNA, 499 nt
Filed under: Chelocoris sinicus
Lineage: Eukaryota; Metazoa; Arthropoda; Insecta; Hemiptera; Phymatidae
Description: eukaryotic LSU rRNA
Rfam family: Eukaryotic large subunit ribosomal RNA
Source: RNAcentral